This 134-nucleotide small nucleolar RNA is filed under the name Carlito syrichta (Philippine tarsier). Its description in RNAcentral is "Small nucleolar RNA SNORA64/SNORA10 family (ENSTSYG00000034454.1)". It matches the Rfam family "Small nucleolar RNA SNORA64/SNORA10 family". From Rfam's summary of the family: This family belongs to the H/ACA class of small nucleolar RNAs (snoRNAs) which act as guides in the the modification of uridines to pseudouridines. This family includes the human snoRNAs U64 and ACA10 and mouse MBI-29. Lineage: Eukaryota; Metazoa; Chordata; Mammalia; Primates; Tarsiidae. The record is from Rfam by way of RNAcentral.
ACUCUCGCAACUCUGCUUGGUUACACUUGGCUUCACACGAGUGACUUUAAUAAUGGGGAGAGAAAAAAGACUUCCUUGGGAGGCCUCAGAUUGGCCAUGUUGUGGUCUCUCUUUCCUUCAGGGGCACAACAGGU